This 69-nucleotide transfer RNA is filed under the name Allobates caeruleodactylus. Its description in RNAcentral is "tRNA-Ala". It matches the Rfam family "tRNA". Rfam says of the family: Transfer RNA (tRNA) molecules are approximately 80 nucleotides in length. Their secondary structure includes four short double-helical elements and three loops (D, anti-codon, and T loops). Lineage: Eukaryota; Metazoa; Chordata; Amphibia; Anura; Aromobatidae. The record is from RNAcentral.
AAGGCUUUAUCUUAAUAAAAGUAUUUGAUUUGCAUUCAGAAGAUGAAGGUUGGUUGCCUUCAAGUCUUA